This 353-nucleotide transfer-messenger RNA is filed under the name Candidatus Aerophobota. Its description in RNAcentral is "SOJT01 sp004376485 Standard tmRNA". It matches the Rfam family "transfer-messenger RNA". From Rfam's summary of the family: Bacterial tmRNA, also known as 10Sa RNA or SsrA, is named for its dual tRNA and mRNA-like properties. Its role is to liberate the mRNA from a stalled ribosome. The record is from RNAcentral. RNAcentral also lists the same sequence under 1 other name.
GGGGGCGAUCUGGCUUCGACAGGAUGAGAGGAAUUAAGACGGCAUGCCAAGGGUAGCGGAUACCUUGUAAAUCCAUCCGUUUCUAAACUUAAGCGCCAAUCCAACUUUGGCUUUUAGCUACAACUAGUAGCUACGUUCCCUUGCUCUCUGCUCUAUGGAGCAAGAAGGGCGUCAGAAAAUAGAGCUAGCUCAUCUUCAAACAGGGGGGAGAUGAGCGAAACUAUACCUGCUAGUCUCAUUUUCAUCCCGUCUACAGGAGGAAAAGAAGACGAAAACUAAAAUGUAGACUAAACAUGAAGAUGUCUUAGUUUUUCUGUUCCUGGACGAGGGUUCGAUUCCCUCCGCCUCCACCA